This is a long non-coding RNA of Cryptotermes secundus, 491 nucleotides long. RefSeq lists it as uncharacterized. The record is from RefSeq and is a predicted model, not a curated record. The transcript has 3 exons. NCBI's taxonomy places the organism in Eukaryota, Metazoa, Arthropoda, Insecta, Blattodea, Kalotermitidae.
UGUGAGAACAAAGAAAUCCACGUCAGUGUAUGUGCAUAACAAUUAGUAUGUUUCCUUACAGACAUGGCAAAUAUUCAGAGCUAGGUACUGGUACCCUGUUAGAAAUAUGAUGUUAUAUCACUAGGAUUCUUGUAAAUCGAUUAGUUUGCCACCCACAAAGCAUCAUGUGUGAUAAAGUGAAGUUUCAAGGUUAUGAAAGAUUCUGCUUUCUCUUGCAGCAGGAGUGUCGAGAAUUCUCUUACAGAGAACUGAAGAAACAUUUCCUGCUGUGACAGAAAGGAUGAAUUGUACAAAGUCAGAGAAGGUUUUAGUGGGUCCACAUGGUGAGACAUACGCAGCAAUUCAUGAUGCAAACCAGACCAUGAAUAUAAAAGCUGAGGAAGUCUCAGAUGCACAAGAGGAAGCAGAUUCUGUGCAAAUAACAGUUCAGGAGAUAAAGGCUGAACCUGAGAACUGUACAAAUUUGGAGAACGCUUUAAUGGGUCCAUAUG